GAUGAAGAACGUAGCGAAAUGCGAUAAGUAAUGUGAAUUGCAGAAUUCAGUGAAUCAUCGAAUCUUCGAACGCACAUUGCGCCCGCCAGUAUUCUGGCGGGCAUGCCUGUUCGAGCGUCAUUUCAACCCUCAAGACCCCUUCGGGGGACUUGGUGUUGGGGAUCGGCCCAGCCUUCCUGUAAGGCCGCCGGCCCCGAAAUCUAGUGGCGGUCUCGCUGUAGUCCUCCUCUGCGUAGUAGCACAACCUCGCAGUUGGAACGCGGCGGUGGCCAUGCCGUUAAACACCCCACUUCUGAAAGUUGACCUCGGAUCAGGUAGGAAUACCCGCUGAACUUAAGCAUAUCAAUAAGCGGAGGA
Molecule: unclassified non-coding RNA, 357 nt
Filed under: soil metagenome
Description: partial contains 5.8S ribosomal RNA, internal transcribed spacer 2, and large subunit ribosomal RNA
Rfam family: 5.8S ribosomal RNA (bases 1-120)
Source: RNAcentral